This is an RNA transcript of Elephantulus edwardii (Cape elephant shrew), 1631 nucleotides long. It is a transcript of the gene named BTB/POZ domain-containing protein 3-like, with no coding region annotated. The transcript has 4 exons. Lineage: Eukaryota; Metazoa; Chordata; Mammalia; Macroscelidea; Macroscelididae. The record is from RefSeq and is a predicted model, not a curated record.
CUCAUGGUAGAUGACAAGGAAAAGAACAUGAAAUGUCUCACCUUCUUCUUGAUGCUUCCAGAGACAGUCAAGAACAGGUCCAAGAAGAGCUCGAAGAAAGCCAGCCCCACGACCAGCGGCAGCAGCAAGUUGCCCCCAGUUUGCUAUGAAAUUAUCACCUUAAAGACUAAAAAGAAGAAGAAGAUGGCUGCUGAUAUAUUCCCUCGUAAAAAACCAGCCAGCUCCAGCAACACCACUGUCCAGCAGUACCACCAGCAGAAUCUCAGCAACAACAACCUUAUUCCAGCCCCAAACUGGCAGGGCCUAUAUCCCACCAUCAGGGAGAGAAAUGCGGUGAUGUUCAAUAAUGACUUGAUGGCAGAUGUUCAUUUUGUGGUUGGGCCACCAGGUGGGACUCAGCGGUUGCCAGGACACAAAUAUGUUUUAGCUGUUGGGAGCUCUGUGUUCCAUGCAAUGUUUUAUGGAGAACUUGCCGAGGACAAAGAUGAAAUCCGUAUACCAGAUGUCGAACCUGCUGCUUUUCUCGCCAUGCUGAAAUACAUCUAUUGUGAUGAAAUUGACUUGGCUGCUGACACAGUGCUGGCCACUCUCUAUGCUGCCAAAAAGUACAUCGUCCCGCACCUUGCCAGAGCCUGCGUUAAUUUCCUGGAAACCAGCCUGAGCGCCAAGAACGCCUGCGUGCUGCUCUCCCAGAGCUGCCUCUUUGAGGAGCCGGACCUGACCCAGCGCUGCUGGGAGGUGAUCGAUGCCCAGGCCGAGUUGGCCCUCAAGUCCGAGGGGUUCUGUGACAUUGACUUCCAGACUCUAGAAAGCAUCCUCCGCAGGGAAACUCUGAAUGCCAAAGAAAUUGUGGUUUUUGAGGCAGCCCUCAACUGGGCUGAAGUCGAAUGCCAGCGACAAGAUCUAGCCUUGAGCAUUGAAAACAAACGUAAGGUCCUUGGCAAGGCCCUCUACCUGAUCCGGAUACCGACCAUGGCCCCUGGACGAUUUCACCAACGGCGCCGUGCAGUCGGGCGUCCUCACCCUCAACGAGACCAACGACAUCUUCCUCUGGUACACCGCGGCCAAGAAGCCAGAGCUGCAGUUCGUGAGCAAAGCCCGCAAGGGCCUCGUGCCCCAGCGCUGCCACCGCUUCCAGUCCUGUGCCUACCGGAGCAACCAGUGGCGCUACCGGGGACGCUGCGACAGCAUCCAGUUCGCGGUGGACAAGAGGGUGUUCAUCGCGGGCUUCGGCCUGUACGGCUCGAGCUGCGGCUCAGCCGAGUACAGCGCCAAGAUCGAACUCAAGCGCCAGGGCGUUGUCCUGGGCCAGAACUUGAGCAAGUACUUCUCCGACGGCUCCAGCAACACGUUCCCGGUGUGGUUCGAGUACCCGGUGCAGAUCGAGCCGGACACCUUCUACACGGCCAGCGUCAUCCUCGACGGCAACGAACUCAGCUACUUCGGCCAGGAAGGCAUGACGGAGGUGCAGUGUGGCAAAGUGACAGUGCAGUUCCAGUGCUCCUCGGACAGCACCAACGGCACCGGGGUGCAGGGCGGCCAGAUCCCCGAGCUCAUCUUCUACGCUUGAAAAGGCUUCUCUGCAAGCAGGGGAGCCCUCGAGGGGCACAGCCGGUUCCACCUUGCCGGAU